CUAAAAUCAUGUCUGCACACCGCAACUGCAACUAUCAGAAAGCAAAAGUGCCGCCCUAGUUUUGUGUGUAUUCAUUUCCAUUUUCCAACCCUAACCAAGCGCUCUUCUUGCUCUCUCUGUUUGACAUCAAAAUCUCACAGUGGUGGAAAAGAGUAAAAGAUCAAUGUGGGUCGACCACAAUUGUUUUUUUUCUGCACCUGAUGUUACUGUGUGCUUAUUGGCCUUGAUUGAGCUAGAAGCUACAGAGAUCUGUGAGUACAUUGAAGUUAGCUGAACCAACAUGGGAUAUGUAAUUACUCUGCAAAACAAUAUUUUUACAUCCCAAUUUUUGCUUGGUAUGCGUGAGUGCAUCAGACAAGAUGGCUGUAAUUCAAGUUCCACCUUUUCUUUUAAUUGUUCUUCGCCGAAGAAAUCUCCAUCCAUACUUAGAAUUUGUUAUUUCAAGUACUUUGUUGCAACAAAAAAUUGUUCACUUCAAAAAGGAUUGCCGUGUAGAAGCUUUCAAGAACGGGGAAGUGUUUUGCUUGAUAGAGUCAAUGAAGUUGACCAUGAAGAUUGGGCCUUUGAAGGUUAUUCUGUCGGUGAAGGUAACAAUAAUAAAUUCACAGAACUAGUGGAUUUAAACAAGUCUAUAGACUCCCCAUCUUUGUCCCCAGAUGGACCAUUUGUUGGCAAUAAUGAAAAAACAAAUAAUAUGAUACUCCAGAAUCUUUGCAGCCGCGGAAAGUUAACGCUUGCAGCAAAGUUGAUUGAUAUUAUGUCACGUAAAGGCCAAAUACCUCAUUUCCCUUGUUGUACAAAUUUGAUUCGUGGCUUUAUCAGAAUCGGUCUAGUCGGAAAAGCUUGUAGAAUAAUGAACAUAAUGGUCAUGUCUGGUGGUGUUCCUGACACAAUUACAUUCAACAUGGUAAUUGGUGGCCUGUGUAAAAUAGGUCGUCUGAGAUCUGCAAUUGCUAUGGUUGAAGAUAUGAGCAUGAGUGGCUGCUCCCCAGAUGCAAUUACAUACAAUACAAUAAUUCGCUGCAUAUUUGAUAAUGGCAAAGAUGCCAAUCAGGCGAUUAGCUUCUGGAAGGAACAAUUGAGGAAAGGGUGCCCUCCUUAUCUGGUUACCUACACAGUUCUUAUCGAUCUGGUGUGCAGAUACUGUGGCACUGCUCGUGCACUCGAAGUACUUGAAGAUAUAGCAAUGGAAGGAUGCUAUCCAGAUAUCAUUACAUACAAUUGUCUCACAAAUCUUACUUCUAAACAAGGGAAGUAUGACGAUACAGUUUUCAUUUUGAAUAAUCUUCUAACCCACGGGAUGGAGCCAAACUAUGUGACAUACAAUACUCUUCUUCAUUCUCUUAGUAACCAUGGGUACUGGGAUGAAGUUGAUGAGAUUCUGAAGAUUAUGAGUGAGACUACUGGUCCACCCACAGUUGUCACCUACAAUAUUAUGCUCAAUGGUUUAUGUAAAUCUGGACUUCUGGAUCGUGCAAUAAGCAUCUACAUUAAUAUGGUUUCAGAAAACUGUUCACCAGACAUUAUAACUUACAAUACUCUUCUACGCGCUGUGUGUAAAGAGGGCUUUAUCGAUGAGGGCAUUGAGUUACUUCACUUAUUGGCAGGCACUACUUCUCCGGGGCUGGUAAGCUAUAAUAUAGUGAUUGAUGGGGUGACAAAAAUGGGAUAUAUGGACUCAGCAAAAGAAUUGUAUGGUGAAAUGACAAAAAAGGGAAUAACUCCUGAUGAAAUUACGCAUAGUUGUAUGACUUGGGGAUUUUGUCGAUUGCAACAACUUGAGGAAGCUGUACAGAUAUUAAAGCUGAUGACUAAGAAAGAACAAAAGAUUAAAGAUGGUGCUUACAGAUAUGUGAUCCUUGGAUUAUGUAAACAGAGGAAGGUUGAUGUUGCAAUUCAGGCCCUGGAUUUGAUGGUAAGAAACCAAUACCAGCCAGAUGCGAGGAUAUAUUAUACUUUGAUUAAAGCUCUUGCUGAUGAGGGUAUGGUAGAAGAGGCUAACAAUUUGCACCAGCAGUUGGUCAGAUGGAAUCUUCUGAAAAAGGAAACCAUGUUUAGUUAAUUGACAUGUGCGCAUAAGGAAUGGCCGAAUUCUAAUGCUUCUACAAGCCAUGUACAGUUUGCACAUUCCUGUCGCAGGAAAACUUGUUUGGGAAGUUUUGACAGUUACUCAUCUGGGAACUGCAAGGUCCAAGAGCAUUGUGGCCAAUGGUCAUUACAGUUGCACCAUGAAAUCAUUUUAGUUGUUGAAGUUGGCACAAGCUUGUGCUGCUUCUCUUUUAGUCUUCCGUUUUUCAGUUUUGCAGAAUUUUGUUGAUGACUUGUGUGCAGUAUUUAGAUAGCAUAUUCAGGAUGAAGUGAACAGCAUAGUGUAAUCCUUUUUAAUGGUUUUGGUAGUUUUAGGUUUUUCUCUGUUGGCCAAAUAUACUAUCUAUCUAUCUAUCUAUCAAUCAGCAUUUCUUACCACAUAAUUUGGAUUAAAGUCAGUUAUUUAUUUUGCCACAAACAUACUUUUUGUUCGGUUGAGACACGUGUCUAUAGGGGACAUGAUUCUCCUGUGCUGAAUUUUA
RNA transcript from Arachis stenosperma, 2570 nucleotides. It is a transcript of the gene named pentatricopeptide repeat-containing protein At1g08610, with no coding region annotated. The transcript is spliced from 3 exons. Lineage: Eukaryota; Viridiplantae; Streptophyta; Magnoliopsida; Fabales; Fabaceae. The record is from RefSeq and is a predicted model, not a curated record.